AAACAACACCACUCUCGACAUCGAACAUCUUUGUGUGGAUGACAGUGGCCGGCUGGAGCAUCGUUGCAGCCUAAUUACCGUGAACUGAACACACUGAUCACGCGGUCGUGUCGUAGCAAAUAAAGUGACUGAUGGAGGGUGCAACUCAAACAGUGUCUGGAAAUCCAGAUUUGGAUGACUUGAUCAAGCUAUGCUUUAGACUUGGAUUCAGCAAUAAGGAAAUACUUGCAAUUUUAGCACAUAAUGCUCAAACUAUUAAGUAUUCGGACUCUGAAAAGGAUAUGCAAAAGACUUGGUCUUUUUCAAAGAAAGAACCAGUCAGACCUGGGAGACGUGUUGGCUUUUGUCCAGCAUGAGAUCCUGACUAGUGGACAGAUGCAAGGUUAUCGCUGGCUUCAUCUGCGUGCCAUUCAAAAAGGAUUUGUUGUGUCACAAGAUACAAUAAGACAAAUUAUAAAAUUGGUUGACCAAUACAACUGUCGGGGGCCAAAUGCUCUUUGGCACCUGGAUGGCUAUGACAAAUUAAAGCCCUCUGGGAUUGGCAUCAAUGGCUGUAUUGAUGGCUUAUUGAUGAUUGUGUUAUGGGCGGAAGCCUAUACCACAAACAGUGACCCUAAGGUGGUUGCAAGUUUCACGCAUCAGUGGGUGUCCAGAGAGGAUCCAUGCAGACGGGCACAGAAAAUGUUUGUGUUGAACAGACGCAGAUGUUUGUGCGUAGAAACCACUCAGACAAUUUUCCUGCGGAGAAAAGUUUCCUUUAUGGAAGAAUUACAGGCAAUCAGCGUAUUGAAGGGUGGUGGUCAACCCUUAGCAAACAGAGCGCACAGUUUUGGAUUAAUUUAUUUCAAACUCUUCAGGAUGAUGGCCACUUUUCAGGAGAUUUCUGGAUAAAAGUCUUAUCUGGUUCUGCUUUCUUAAUCUUGUGCAAGAUGAGCUGGAUGAAGUUGUGAACACGUGGAACGCACACAAAAUAAGACCAAGAUUGCACCGUGAUACAGCUUCAGGUCGAUCAGUCGUCAUGUGUUCAUUCCCUGAGAUGCACAGUGCAGAGGAUCAAUUAAAACCUGUUGGAACGGAAGAGGUCACUGCAUAUAUGGAAGAGUGCACUGCAAAAGGCAAUUUUCCUUGUGAUGAAACUGUAUUUGAACUGUGUUGCUUGCUUAUGGAGGAAAAUGAAUGGCACGCGCCAUCAGAUCCUUUGGAUGCAAGUGACUUGUAUGUUAAAUUGAGAGAGGAAGUACUGAAGUCUAUUUGACAUGUGUACUGAUGCAAUUUUUAGAACUGAUAGUGAUGAGAAAAUGAAGCUUCAAAUUUGCUCCAUAAACCAGUUGUUGUUUUUUGACUCCUCUAGAUUGCACUCUUUUCAGCAGUGGGCUGGAAGUGCACAGACUUGCCCUUUCUGAAACCCCUUUAUUUUAAACAACAGUGCCAUGGCUCCAGCAUGCCCCGUGACUUUUGUGAGGAUAAGUGGAUCAAAAGUGGAUGGAUGUCUUAUUGUUAAUAUUGAUAGAAAACAUGUCCAUACUUUUUCUGAUCCGCUUUAUCCUCACAAGGGUCACGAGGUAUGCUGUGCAGCCUAUCCCAGCAGUCGUUGGGCAGU
This is a long non-coding RNA of Hippocampus comes (tiger tail seahorse), 1600 nucleotides long. RefSeq lists it as uncharacterized. The record is from RefSeq and is a predicted model, not a curated record. The transcript has 3 exons. NCBI's taxonomy places the organism in Eukaryota, Metazoa, Chordata, Actinopteri, Syngnathiformes, Syngnathidae.